Electrophorus electricus (electric eel) is the source of this 191-nucleotide long non-coding RNA. RefSeq lists it as uncharacterized. The record is from RefSeq and is a predicted model, not a curated record. Lineage: Eukaryota; Metazoa; Chordata; Actinopteri; Gymnotiformes; Gymnotidae.
CAGCUGCAGCAUUGAAGAUGUGUGAAGAAUCUUCACAAGACAAAUGUCAGUUGCAGAGAGUGAGGUCAACAUCUUUUAAUACACCAAACUCUAGAGAUUCUGAGGUGUGAUGCAUGCACAUUUGACACUUGCCUUGGGGGAGCUCUCUCAAUAGUAUCGAGUGCUUCAAAAUUCCCUGAUGGCCAUGAGGG